GGUCUCGUGGCCGAGUGGCUAGGCAAGGCUCUGCAAAAGCUUGUACAGCGGUUCGAAUCCGCUCGAGACCUCAA
This 74-nucleotide transfer RNA is filed under the name Cryomorphaceae bacterium BACL23 MAG-120924-bin60. RNAcentral's name for it is "tRNA-Cys". It matches the Rfam family "tRNA". From Rfam's summary of the family: Transfer RNA (tRNA) molecules are approximately 80 nucleotides in length. Lineage: Bacteria; Pseudomonadati; Bacteroidota; Flavobacteriia; Flavobacteriales; Cryomorphaceae. RNAcentral also lists the same sequence under 2 other names. The record is from RNAcentral.